CUACGGGGCGCAGCAGUGGGGAAUAUUGCACAAUGGGCGCAAGCCUGAUGCAGCCAUGCCGCGUGUAUGAAGAAGGCCUUCGGGUUGUAAAGUACUUUCAGCGGGGAGGAAGGGAGUAAAGUUAAUACCUUUGCUCAUUGACGUUACCCGCAGAAGAAGCACCGGCCAACUCCGUGCCAGCAGCCGCGGUAAUACGGAGGGUGCAAGCGUUCAUCGGAAUUACUGGGCGUAAAGCGCACGCAGGCGGUUUGUUAAGUCAGAUGUGAAAUCCCCGGGCUCAACCUGGGAACUGCAUCUGAUACUGGCAAGCUUGAGUCUCGUAGAGGGGGGUAGAAUUCCAGGUGUAGCGGUGAAAUGCGUAGAGAUCUGGAGGAAUACCGGUGGCGAAGGCGGCCCCCUGGACGAAGACUGACGCUCAGGUGCGAAAGCGUGGGGAGCAAACAGGAUUAGAUACCCGGGUAGUC
Molecule: ribosomal RNA, 464 nt
Filed under: uncultured bacterium
Lineage: Bacteria
Description: partial 16S ribosomal RNA
Rfam family: Bacterial small subunit ribosomal RNA
Source: RNAcentral